GAUGGACGCUGGCGGCGUGCCUAAUACAUGCAAGUCGAGCGAAUGGAUUGAGAGCUUGCUCUCAAGAAGUUAGCGGCGGACGGGUGAGUAACACGUGGGUAACCUGCCCAUAAGACUGGGAUAACUCCGGGAAACCGGGGCUAAUACCGGAUAACAUUUUGAACUGCAUGGUUCGAAAUUGAAAGGCGGCUUCGGCUGUCACUUAUGGAUGGACCCGCGUCGCAUUAGCUAGUUGGUGAGGUAACGGCUCACCAAGGCAACGAUGCGUAGCCGACCUGAGAGGGUGAUCGGCCACACUGGGACUGAGACACGGCCCAGACUCCUACGGGAGGCAGCAGUAGGGAAUCUUCCGCAAUGGACGAAAGUCUGACGGAGCAACGCCGCGUGAGUGAUGAAGGCUUUCGGGUCGUAAAACUCUGUUGUUAGGGAAGAACAAGUGCUAGUUGAAUAAGCUGGCACCUUGACGGUACCUAACCAGAAAGCCACGGCUAACUACGUGCCAGCAGCCGCGGUAAUACGUAGGUGGCAAGCGUUAUCCGGAAUUAUUGGGCGUAAAGCGCGCGCAGGUGGUUUCUUAAGUCUGAUGUGAAAGCCCACGGCUCAACCGUGGAGGGUCAUUGGAAACUGGGAGACUUGAGUGCAGAAGAGGAAAGUGGAAUUCCAUGUGUAGCGGUGAAAUGCGUAGAGAUAUGGAGGAACACCAGUGGCGAAGGCGACUUUCUGGUCUGUAACUGACACUGAGGCGCGAAAGCGUGGGGAG
This 760-nucleotide ribosomal RNA is filed under the name Bacillus sp. B2. RNAcentral's name for it is "bacterial SSU rRNA". It matches the Rfam family "Bacterial small subunit ribosomal RNA", at positions 28 to 768 of the family's 1533-position model. Lineage: Bacteria; Bacillati; Bacillota; Bacilli; Caryophanales; Bacillaceae. The record is from RNAcentral.